UUUUUGCCUCAGCUCUGUGUUCUUGGGAGAGAGUUACAGAGAAUAAGUUCUGCAUGUUGUGAUCGUGUAUGUUUUCCUUCGAUUUAGUGUUUGUUUGUUCCUUGCAUGUGACUGAUUUGGGGUUUCGGUGAUGCAGGAGUUUAUGGGUUUGUUGUUAGCAACGAGAGGGAAGAUGAAGUUUGGAAUCAGAUUGAGGAAAGCAGAAGAGUACCUUCUUUGGCGAUUUUGUUUUGUUGGCGAUUUCGGGUUUGGUGGAAGCUCAGGUCAAAAAGGUGUUGGGUUAUUGACGCGAUCUUCUCUCUCUCUUUUUCUCUUCGUUUUUGGCUGGGCUCUUCGCAUCUAGAGGUGGAGGGUGAUUUUGGAAGAAAUGGAAGAGAAAUUCACAGCUAAAGACUAAGGGAUGGGUUUCACCUUCUAUUAUUAUUGUUGCUGCAACUGAUUUAUCUGUUGUAAAACUGGUCUGCAAGGUCUGAAGAAAAGGAAAGGCUUGGAUCUGCCAAUCAAGCUUUUUUUUUUUUUUUUUUUUUCUGGGAAUUUAGUGCAGGACAAACUUUCUUGAGUGAUCUUCAUAGCUCAAGCUUCUUCUUUUUUCAUGCGGUACGGUGGGACAUUUUGAUUGCUUGCUCCAAUGGAUACUGGAAUUACAGGCAUCAGGGGUGGAUUUUUUUUCAUGAUUCUAGGUUCUUCCUGAAGAAAAUUAUGUAAUUCCAACACAGAUUACAUUCCGGAUAUCUUCAGACAAAAAAAUCACUCUUUUGAACUUUUCCUCAAUCACUAUUAUUGAAGUGAGAAGCAGUGCAUGAUUGUCGAUUUGUACGGGAAUUCAGUCAACUGAUCCUCCCAGGAAGUGAAUGGAAAAAAAUUCACUGAAUGGAUUUAUUUAGAAAAACACGGUGACGUAUACGAGAGAACUUUGGACGCUUCUUCUCAGUGCGUAAAACAAUGCCAGUAGUGUCCCUUAAUAGUUCUUGGAUGCCAAACAAGAAGCAUGAAAAAAGAAGUGACAGAGAAGCCAGUAUUGAAUCAGCAACAUCAUCAACAGAAAUCAUCAGCAAAGAAAAAAUGUACCAAGUGUCACAGCAUUUUUUGUGUAAAUAGAACUGGAGGAAGCAACUUUUUGGACAACCUCCACUACUGGUCAUCACUAGGCUAACAACAUCUCAGCAUGCAUAUAUGCUGAUGGACAUCAUCACUUAUUUUUGGCAACCAGAUUAGGCAUUUGUUGUAACUAAGUUAGCCUAUAAGUAGAACAGGUUAUUUUUGGCAAGCUGUUUCGACAGCAACUGUAAAUCUGUAUUUGAACACUAAAUUUCAGUAAAACAUGAUGUAUGUUAGUUCUUAA
Rosa rugosa (rugosa rose) is the source of this 1342-nucleotide long non-coding RNA. RefSeq lists it as uncharacterized. The record is from RefSeq and is a predicted model, not a curated record. NCBI's taxonomy places the organism in Eukaryota, Viridiplantae, Streptophyta, Magnoliopsida, Rosales, Rosaceae. The transcript is spliced from 9 exons.